Molecule: ribosomal RNA, 497 nt
Filed under: uncultured bacterium
Lineage: Bacteria
Description: partial 16S ribosomal RNA
Rfam family: Bacterial small subunit ribosomal RNA
Source: RNAcentral
GAUGAACGCUGGCGGCGUGCCUAAUACAUGCAAGUCGAGCGAACAGACGAGGAGCUUGCUCCUCUGACGUUAGCGGCGGACGGGUGAGUAACACGUGGAUAACCUACCUAUAAGACUGGGAUAACUUCGGGAAACCGGAGCUAAUACCGGAUAAUAUAUUGAACCGCAUGGUUCAAUAGUGAAAGACGGUUUUGCUGUCACUUAUAGAUGGAUCCGCGCCGCAUUAGCUAGUUCGUAAGGUAACGGCUUACCAAGGCAACGAUGCGUAGCCGACCUGAGAGGGUGAUCGGCCACACUGGAACUGAGACACGGUCCAGACUCCUACGGGAGGCAGCAGUAGGGAAUCUUCCGCAAUGGGCGAAAGCCUGACGGAGCAACGCCGCGUGAGUGAUGAAGGUCUUCGGAUCGUAAAACUCUGUUAUUAGGGAAGAACAAAUGUGUAAGUAACUAUGCACGUCUUGACGGUGCCUAAUCAGAAAGCCACGGCUAACUACGUG